UACGUAGGGACCGAGCGUUGUCCGGAAUCAUUGGGCGUAAAGAGCGUGUAGGCGGCCACUUAAGUCCUGCGUGAAAUCGUUGACGGCCUCAACCGCAAGCGGUCGUGGGAAACUGGGUGGCUAGAGUGCGGGAGAGGGAGAGUGGAAUUCCUGGUGUAGCGGUGGAAUGCGCAGAUAUCAGGAGGAACACCGGUGGUGUAGACGGCUUUCUGGACCGUAACUGACGCUGAGACACGAAGCGUGGGUAGCAAACAGG
This 256-nucleotide ribosomal RNA is filed under the name uncultured bacterium. Its description in RNAcentral is "partial 16S ribosomal RNA". It matches the Rfam family "Bacterial small subunit ribosomal RNA", at positions 524 to 776 of the family's 1533-position model. The record is from RNAcentral.